This 451-nucleotide ribosomal RNA is filed under the name uncultured bacterium. RNAcentral's name for it is "bacterial SSU rRNA". It matches the Rfam family "Bacterial small subunit ribosomal RNA", at positions 30 to 467 of the family's 1533-position model. The record is from RNAcentral.
AGUGAACGCUGGCGGCAGGCCUAACACAUGCAAGUCGAGCGGCAGCGCGUCCGACCACCCUCGGGUGGUCGGAUGGCGGCGAGCGGCGGACGGGUGAGGAAUGCAUCGGAAUCUGCCUCGUUGUGGGGGAUAACGUAGGGAAACUUACGCUAAUACCGCAUACGACCUACGGGUGAAAGUGGGGGACCUUCGGGCCUCACGCGAUGAGAUGAGCCGAUGCCGGAUUAGCUAGUUGGCGGGGUAAAGGCCCACCAAGGCGACGAUCCGUAGCUGGUCUGAGAGGAUGAUCAGCCACACUGGAACUGAGACACGGUCCAGACUCCUACGGGAGGCAGCAGUGGGGAAUAUUGGACAAGUGGGGGCAACCCUGAUCCAGCCAUGCCGCGUGUGUGAAGAAGGCCUUCGGUUGUAAGACACUUUGUUGGGUAAGGAACCGGACCGGGUUAACGUA